AUACUUACCUGGCGUGGGGGCUACCGUGAUCAAGAAGGCGGUUCCCCCAGGGCGAGGCCCUUCCAUUGCACUCCGGUUGGGCUGACCCCUGCGAGUAUCUCAAAUGUAGAUACCUCGGGCGCGUAAUUUUUUGGGAGUCGGGACUGCGUUCGCGCUGUCCCGGA
RNAcentral lists this small nuclear RNA (164 nucleotides) under Bemisia tabaci. RNAcentral describes it as "U1 spliceosomal RNA". It matches the Rfam family "U1 spliceosomal RNA". Rfam says of the family: U1 is a small nuclear RNA (snRNA) component of the spliceosome (involved in pre-mRNA splicing). The record is from RNAcentral. Lineage: Eukaryota; Metazoa; Arthropoda; Insecta; Hemiptera; Aleyrodidae.